ACGCUGGCGGCGUGCCUAACACAUGCAAGUCGAACGGAGAUAUAACGCUGCAGAGACUUCGGUCAAAGCUUGUUGUAUCUUAGUGGCGGACGGGUGAGUAACGCGUGGGCAACCUGCCUCAUACUGGGGGAUAACAGUUGGAAACGGCUGUUAAUACCGCAUAAGCGCACAGAGUCGCAUGACUCAGUGUGAAAAACUCCGGUGGUAUGAGAUGGGCCCGCGUCAGAUUAGCCAGUUGGCGGGGUAACGGCCCACCAAAGCAACGAUCUGUAGCCGGACUGAGAGGUCGGACGGCCACAUUGGGACUGAGACACGGCCCAAACUCCUACGGGAGGCAGCAGUGGGGGAUAUUGCACAAUGGAGGAAACUCUGAUGCAGCGACGCCGCGUGAGUGAAGAAGUAUUUCGGUAUGUAAAGCUCUAUCAGGCAGGGAAGAAAGGCUCGAAAGAGAGAUGACGGUACCUGACUAAGAAGCCCCGGCUAACUACGUGCCAGCAGCCGC
RNAcentral lists this ribosomal RNA (502 nucleotides) under uncultured bacterium. Its description in RNAcentral is "bacterial SSU rRNA". It matches the Rfam family "Bacterial small subunit ribosomal RNA", at positions 33 to 518 of the family's 1533-position model. The record is from RNAcentral.